AAAGGUUCCCUCAGAUUGGUUGGAAAUCAAUCGCAGAGUGUAAAGGUAUAAGGGAGCUUGACUGCGAGAGCUACAACUCGAGCAGGGACGAAAGUCGGGCUUAGUGAUCCGGUGGUACCGAAUGGAAGGGCCAUCGCUCAACGGAUAAAAGCUACCCUGGGGAUAACAGGCUUAUCUCCCCCAAGAGUUCACAUCGACGGGGAGGUUUGGCACCUCGAUGUCGG
This 224-nucleotide ribosomal RNA is filed under the name Escherichia coli. RNAcentral's name for it is "partial 23S ribosomal RNA". It matches the Rfam family "Bacterial large subunit ribosomal RNA", at positions 2312 to 2535 of the family's 2925-position model. Lineage: Bacteria; Pseudomonadati; Pseudomonadota; Gammaproteobacteria; Enterobacterales; Enterobacteriaceae. The record is from RNAcentral.